RNAcentral lists this unclassified non-coding RNA (83 nucleotides) under plant metagenome. RNAcentral describes it as "partial contains 5.8S ribosomal RNA, internal transcribed spacer 2, and large subunit ribosomal RNA". The record is from RNAcentral.
GCGCUUGCGGCGCUGGUCGAAUCGCAUCCCAGCGAAGAGGGGCUCUUUCUCCAGCUGGCUUUGCUGGAGCGACGCCUGGGUGC